RNAcentral lists this ribosomal RNA (450 nucleotides) under uncultured bacterium. RNAcentral describes it as "bacterial SSU rRNA". It matches the Rfam family "Bacterial small subunit ribosomal RNA", at positions 29 to 524 of the family's 1533-position model. The record is from RNAcentral.
AGCGAACGCUGGCGGCAGGCUUAACACAUGCAAGUCGAGCGGGCGUAGCAAUACGUCAGCGGCAGACGGGUGAGUAACACGUGGGAACGUACCUUUUGGUUCGGAACAACACAGGGAAACUUGUGCUAAUACCGAAUAAGCCCUUACGGGGAAAGAUUAUCGCCGAAAGAUCGGCCCGCGUCUGAUUAGCUUGUUGGUGAGGUAACGGCUCACCAAGGCGACGAUCAGUAGCUGGUCGAGAGGAUGAUCAGCCACACUGGGACUGAGACACGGCCCAGACUCCUACGGGAGGCAGCAGUGGGGAAUAUUGGACAAUGGGGGCAACCCUGAUCCAGCCAUGCCGCGUGAGUGAUGAAGGCCCUACGGGUUGUAAGCUCUUUUGUGCGGAAGAUAAUGACGGUACCGCAAGAAUAAGCCCCGGCCUAACUUCGUGCCAGCCGCCGCAGUAAC